CAGCAGUGGGGAAUAUUGCACAAUGGGGGAAACCCUGAUGCAGCCAUGCCGCGUGUGUGAAGAAGGCCUUCGGGUUGUAAAGCACUUUCAGUAGGGGAGGAAGGUAGUGUAGUUAACACCUGCAUUAUUUGACGUUACCUACAGAAGAAGCACCGGCUAACUCCGUGCCAGCAGCCGCGGUAAUACGGAGGGUGCGAGCGUUAAUCGGAAUUACUGGGCGUAAAGCGCAUGCAGGCGGCCUGUUAAGUCAGAUGUGAAAGCCCGGGGCUUAACCUCGGAAUUGCAUUUGAAACUGGCAGGCUAGAGUCUUGUAGAGGGGGGUAGGAAUUUCAGGUGUAGCGGUGAAAUGCGUAGAGAUCUGAAGGAAUACCAGUGGCGAAGGCGGCCCCCUGGACAAAGACUGACGCUCAGAUGCGAAAGCGUGGGGAGCAAACAGGAUUAGAUACCCUGGUAG
Molecule: ribosomal RNA, 454 nt
Filed under: uncultured bacterium
Lineage: Bacteria
Description: bacterial SSU rRNA
Rfam family: Bacterial small subunit ribosomal RNA
Source: RNAcentral